CUAUUACAGAAAUCAGAAUAAACGUGGAAUCUGAACGAUUCUGUUUAGAGGAGGGUGGAAAGCCAAUCAUAUAUCGACACGUGGGCAUUUUAAGUUGUUGGGACAUCGAGAAAAUAUCUAGUGGUUGAGGCUCUCACUUCGGAAGAUAUUUUUCUUGCAUUCGAAUGGAGUCCACUGUGUCUGAUUCCACGUGGCCGAAUCACGUGCCA
RNAcentral lists this long non-coding RNA (209 nucleotides) under Vigna radiata. Its description in RNAcentral is "long non-coding RNA (VRAD_LNC000809)". The record is from RNAcentral. Lineage: Eukaryota; Viridiplantae; Streptophyta; Magnoliopsida; Fabales; Fabaceae.